AGCUUUAUGCCGUGGCAGUAUGGUAGCCAAUGAGGUUUAUCCGACGUGCGAUUAUUGCUAAUUGAAAAUUUUUCCCAAUAUCCCACCAUGACUACUUGAAAUAUAGUCGGCAUUGGCAAUUUUUGGCAGUCUCUACAGAGA
Cebus imitator (Panamanian white-faced capuchin) is the source of this 141-nucleotide small nuclear RNA. Its record names the gene U4. It matches the Rfam family "U4 spliceosomal RNA". From Rfam's summary of the family: U4 small nuclear RNA (U4 snRNA) is a component of the major U2-dependent spliceosome. The structure of U4 snRNA from yeast and human has been reported. NCBI's taxonomy places the organism in Eukaryota, Metazoa, Chordata, Mammalia, Primates, Cebidae. The record is from Ensembl.